RNAcentral lists this ribosomal RNA (534 nucleotides) under Ampelomyces sp. F109. Its description in RNAcentral is "eukaryotic LSU rRNA". The stretch from base 191 to 344 matches the Rfam family "5.8S ribosomal RNA". RNAcentral also lists the same sequence under 1 other name. Lineage: Eukaryota; Fungi; Ascomycota; Dothideomycetes; Pleosporales; Phaeosphaeriaceae. The record is from RNAcentral.
UAAAAGUCGUAACAAGGUUUCCGUAGGUGAACCUGCGGAAGGAUCAUUACCUAGAGUUGUAGGCUUUGCCUGCUAUCUCUUACCCAUGUCUUUUGAGUACCUUACGUUUCCUCGGUGGGUUCGCCCACCGAUUGGACAAACUUAAACCCUUUGCAGUUGAAAUCAGCGUCUGAAAAAACUUAAUAGUUACAACUUUCAACAACGGAUCUCUUGGUUCUGGCAUCGAUGAAGAACGCAGCGAAAUGCGAUAAGUAGUGUGAAUUGCAGAAUUCAGUGAAUCAUCGAAUCUUUGAACGCACAUUGCGCCCCUUGGUAUUCCAUGGGGCAUGCCUGUUCGAGCGUCAUUUGUACCUUCAAGCUCUGCUUGGUGUUGGGUGUUUGUCUCCUGUAGACUCGCCUUAAAACAAUUGGCAGCCGGCGUAUUGAUUUCGGAGCGCAGUACAUCUCGCGCUUUGCACUCAUAACGACGACGUCCAAAAGUACAUUUUUACACUCUUGACCUCGGAUCAGGUAGGGAUACCCGCUGAACUUAAG